UCAUUUGAAACCCCGCAGGUGGUAUUGUAUAAGCAUCUUGUCACACAUGCUUACUUUGGCGCGCUGUUCCGGUCACGUGGCUAACAAACCCAUGACGCCAGACGUUCUCCACAGCAACGACAUAAAGACGCCAUUACCGUUGCCUUCAAUUGACCUUUUCUUCACGGCCGCGCUUAAAAUUAUUUAUUGGUAAAACAAUUGUAAUACGAAUCACAUAAAGAACACAUUUACGCUAGAACGACGCUGAGGUUAUUCGGUCUGACUAGAAAAGCAGACAAAAGAAGUCACAGCGCUCACCGCGAAAUCUCACGGGCUCCGAGUCCAGAAUGCGAAAAUAAUUACGUUGGGUACAAAAUGGCGAACGCUCUCUCUUCUCCUCGGCAUGCGCAGAAUGAGCAGAAGCUUUCCCUCUGAAAUGAAGCUCCGUUCCCAUACAUCCUUUCAGCCAAUGGGCUUCGCAGUCGGGACGCUUCCGAGUCAAUUCGACCAAUCAAAACCGUGGACAACGCAGCACAGGAAACAUGUAGCCAAUCGGAGAUCAGCGUGGAUCUGUUGUAUUUGCAAAGAGUGAGAAUCAAAGAACACCAAUGAGAAAGCGUAAUUCGCAGCGCCGCUUUCGUACUCGGCAAUCAGGUUACGCGCUUCAGUUUAGCCAAUAGAAUUUUGCUUAGCGGGCAGCCAAUCGCAAUGCUCGGAAUUUGCCCACAGUGGCCCCGGCAGCCAAUAGGGAUCCGAGAAACAAAACCUCAGCUCAACAGCUUGUUAUUUCGUCCUAUGCCUUUGCAACCUAGUCGAAUGCUGAGCUGAAGCAGUCAUAUAGGAGCAUCAGUCAAAACCAUUCGAGCUGGACUCCCUCAAAUAGCCAUCAAGAUGAAGGUAGCAGAUGAACCUGCCUACCUGACUGUGGGGACGGAUGUGAGCGCAAAGUACCGUGGUGCCUUCUGCGAGGCAAAAAUCAAGACUGUUAAACGCAUUGUGAAAGUUAAGGUUGUGCUUAAAGGAGACAGCACCUCACAAGUCGUCCAAGAUGACCAAGUCAAAGGACCCUUAAGGGUUGGCUCAACAGUGGAAGUGAAGAGCC
This is a long non-coding RNA of Sinocyclocheilus grahami, 1081 nucleotides long. RefSeq lists it as uncharacterized. The record is from RefSeq and is a predicted model, not a curated record. Lineage: Eukaryota; Metazoa; Chordata; Actinopteri; Cypriniformes; Cyprinidae. The transcript has 5 exons.